GCGCGAACUGUUUGUCUUUCUUUGGAUCAGUUCGGACUGGAAGCUUUGGGGAAAGAGUUUAUAACGGUUCAAUCUUUUCUCCACCCCUGGCUGACAGCUCGGGAUUAAUAGGAAAUGAACACAUCGGCCAUCCCCCACUCCACUACUGAUGAUUUGUUGGGCAUUCCCACUUCUCC
Molecule: long non-coding RNA, 176 nt
Organism: Micropterus salmoides (largemouth bass)
Lineage: Eukaryota; Metazoa; Chordata; Actinopteri; Centrarchiformes; Centrarchidae
Exons: 3
Source: RefSeq, a predicted model, not a curated record